GACUACAGGGGUAUCUAAUCCUGUUUGAUCCCCACGCUUUCGUGCCUCAGUGUCAAUAUUCGAGUAGCCAGCUGCCUUCGCAAUUGGUGUUCUAUGUCAUAUCUAAGCAUUUCACCGCUACAUGACAUAUUCCGCUGACCUCCACGGUAUUCAAGACUGAUAGUAUCAAUGGCAGUUUCCAAGUUAAGCUCGGAGAUUUCACCACUGACUUACCAACCCACCUACGCACCCUUUAAACCCAGUGAAUCCGGAUAACGCUUGCACCCUCCGUAUUACCGCGGCUGCUGGCACGGAGUUAGCCGGUGCUUAUUCAUAUGGUACCGUCAGACGACCUAGAAAAGCCUUUUUUCGUCCCAUAUAAAAGAAGUUUACAACCCAGAGGGCCUUCAUCCUCCACGCGGCAUGGCUGGUUCAGACUUUCGUCCAUUGACCAAUAUUCCUUACUGCAGCCCCCCGUAGG
RNAcentral lists this ribosomal RNA (460 nucleotides) under uncultured Terrimonas sp. Its description in RNAcentral is "partial 16S ribosomal RNA". Lineage: Bacteria; Pseudomonadati; Bacteroidota; Chitinophagia; Chitinophagales; Chitinophagaceae. The record is from RNAcentral.